AUACGUAGGUGGAAAGCGUUGUCCGGAUUUAUUGGGCGUAAAGCGAGUGCAGGCGGUCUUUUAAGUCUGAUGUGAAAGCCUUCGGCUUAACCGAAGAAGGGCAUCGGAAACUGGGAGACUUGAGUGCAGAAGAGGACAGUGGAACUCCAUGUGUAGCGGUGAAAUGCGUAGAUAUAUGGAAGAACACCAGUGGCGAAGGCGGCUGUCUGGUCUGUAACUGACGCUGAGGCUUGAAAGUAUGGGUAGC
Molecule: ribosomal RNA, 247 nt
Filed under: uncultured bacterium
Lineage: Bacteria
Description: partial 16S ribosomal RNA
Rfam family: Bacterial small subunit ribosomal RNA
Source: RNAcentral